AGAAUCAACGCUGGCGGCGUGCCUAACACAUGCAAGUCGAACGAGAAAGUGGAGCAAUCCAUGAGUAAAGUGGCGACCGGGUGAGUAACACGUGACUAACCUACCUUCGAGUGGGGGAUAACCUCGGGAAACCGAGGCUAAUACCGCAUAACAUCGUGAGAUCAAAGCAGUAAUGCGCUGGAAGAGGGGGUCGCGGCUGAUUAGCUAGUUGGCGGGGUAAUGGCCCACCAAGGCGAAGAUCGGUAGCCGGCCUGAGAGGGCGCGACGGACCGACGACCUGGAACGUGAAACACGGUCCAGACUCCUACGGGAGGCAGCAGUGGGGAAUUUUGCGCAAUGGGGGAAACCCUGACGCAGCAACGCCGCGUGGAGGAUGAAGUCCCUUGGGACGUAAACUCCUUUCGACCAAGACGAUAAUGACGGUACUGGUGGAAGAAGCACCGGCUAACUCUGUGUCAGCAGCCGC
RNAcentral lists this ribosomal RNA (466 nucleotides) under uncultured bacterium. RNAcentral describes it as "SSU rRNA". It matches the Rfam family "Bacterial small subunit ribosomal RNA", at positions 26 to 518 of the family's 1533-position model. The record is from RNAcentral.